Molecule: ribosomal RNA, 492 nt
Filed under: uncultured bacterium
Lineage: Bacteria
Description: partial 16S ribosomal RNA
Rfam family: Bacterial small subunit ribosomal RNA
Source: RNAcentral
AGUGAACGCUGGCGGUAGGCCUAACACAUGCAAGUCGAACGGCAGCACAGUAAGAGCUUGCUCUUACGGGUGGCGAGUGGCGGACGGGUGAGGAAUACAUCGGAAUCUACUUUUUCGUGGGGGAUAACGUAGGGAAACUUACGCUAAUACCGCAUACGACCUACGGGUGAAAGCAGGGGAUCUUCGGACCUUGCGCGAUUGAAUGAGCCGAUGUCGGAUUAGCUAGUUGGCGGGGUAAAGGCCCACCAAGGCGACGAUCCGUAGCUGGUCUGAGAGGAUGAUCAGCCACACUGGAACUGAGACACGGUCCAGACUCUUACGGGAGGACGCAGUGGGGAAUAUUGGACAAUGGGGGCGAGCCUGAUCCAGCCAUACCGCGUGGGGGAAGAAGGCGUUCGGGUUGUAAAGCCCUGUUGUUGGGAAAGAAAAGCAGCAGGUUAAUACCCCGCUGUUCUGACGGUACCCAAAGAAUAAGCACCGGCUAACUUCGUG